UCGUGGUUUGUGAAGGUUGUUUGUUUCAGAGGCAUUUCGCCUCUCUGCUUUUGGAACCUCCACGAGUGGACUUUUGUCUUGGGGCUCACAGUAUUUUACCCCCUUCAGGGAGGUGGCUGGUUGUAGUUUAGCAAAACAGCCACUGACAUCGCUGCUCCUUCAGCCUCUGCAGACAGAGCUGCAAGAUCCUCGAGGCCUUUUUAAUCCCCAGAAACAAGGUGUUAAAACAGACCAAAAUGUGUUCUCCCGCCCAGAAGCAAGCAAAGCCAACCCCAGCUGCAGUUCCCUGACAGUCCAGUGAAUUCAGCCAAAGGAAAUGGCCCCACAUGGAGGGCAAGUGACAGAAGACCUGAUGACUCCGGUGGCUCAGCGGAGAGUGCAUUAAUAGGCUUGACCACUUCUGCUCGAUCUUCAGGCAAGCUGGGUCUGACCCCUGGACACUGUCCCCUGGAGCCCCUGGCCUCCACGUGUCCACCCACUGCCAUGGUCAUGGCUCCUCAGCAGGAGGAGGCCCAGCAGCCUCCAGGUGCCCCUGCCUGGUGCUAGCUGCCCACCGAAGCUCUAGCCUCACACUCUCAGGUUCAAAUCCAGCGACAAGAGCGGAUCCCACAAAGGCCACGAGAGUCACCCUAAACGGUCAGCUUAGGUCCUUCGUUCACUGAGCCCAUCGCUGUCCAGGGCAAGUGGUGCUGGCUGGGCUAGGUCCAGCUCCCGUGUCCACCCUGGGACCUGAGGUUCAGGGUCAGCUCACCCUAGACACAUGGAUCGAGUGGGGAGGGUGAAUCCUCAAAUGCUAAUCAGGUUCUGUUGUACAGAAGGGGAAGCGGAGGCAGGAGGAUGCAGCAAGACCUGUUCCCUCCUCUAACGGCACUCAUAGGACAGCCCAGCCACACAUUCAAAGAAUCUUGAAGGAAUAGGAUGGUUGGUAUGGUUGGUGUGGAAGAAGGUUCAUAAAUUCUGGAUUUAGCUUUGUGGGAUUCAGCUGACCUGAAAUUUAUACCUGUGCAGGUAGGUGGUUGCUGGGUAGGGUGACCACUACUGUCUCUCUCCAUCACCCAGGGCUGUUUUCAGCUCAAAGCCACAGAAGCCCAGGCAUGGUGGCAUCUCCGGGGGAAGUUGCCUUAUUCCAGAUUCACAGGUCCGGGGCGAAGGGGCCAGGCAGGGCAGGUGUGGGGCGGCAGGAUAUCGCCCUGGGCCUGGCUCCUUCUGCCUUUCUGCCACCAUCUUCAGCGGUGCCAUUACCUCGAGGCCUUCU
Molecule: long non-coding RNA, 1255 nt
Filed under: Homo sapiens (human)
Lineage: Eukaryota; Metazoa; Chordata; Mammalia; Primates; Hominidae
Description: non-protein coding lnc-NCOA3-7:1
Source: RNAcentral